Pezoporus flaviventris is the source of this 103-nucleotide long non-coding RNA. RefSeq lists it as uncharacterized. Lineage: Eukaryota; Metazoa; Chordata; Aves; Psittaciformes; Psittacidae. The record is from RefSeq and is a predicted model, not a curated record. The transcript has 3 exons.
GGGCUUUGAGCAACCUGGUCUAGUGGAAGGUGUCCCUGCCCAUGGCAGGGGGAUGGAACUGGAUGAGCUUUAAGGUCCCUUCCAACCCAAACCAGUCUGUGAU